RNAcentral lists this ribosomal RNA (497 nucleotides) under uncultured bacterium. Its description in RNAcentral is "partial 16S ribosomal RNA". It matches the Rfam family "Bacterial small subunit ribosomal RNA", at positions 28 to 507 of the family's 1533-position model. The record is from RNAcentral.
GAUGAACGCUGGCGGCGUGCCUAAUACAUGCAAGUCGAGCGAACAGACGAGGAGCUUGCUCCUCUGAUGUUAGCGGCGGACGGGUGAGUAACACGUGGAUAACCUACCUAUAAGACUGGGAUAACUUCGGGAAACCGGAGCUAAUACCGGAUAACAUGUUGAACCGCAUGGUUCAACAGUGAAAGACGGUCUUGCUGUCACUUAUAGAUGGAUCCGCGCCGCAUUAGCUAGUUGGUAAGGUAACGGCUUACCAAGGCAACGAUGCGUAGCCGACCUGAGAGGGUGAUCGGCCACACUGGAACUGAGACACGGUCCAGACUCCUACGGGAGGCAGCAGUAGGGAAUCUUCCGCAAAGGGCGAAAGCCUGACGGAGCAACGCCGCGUGAGUGAAGAAGGUCUUCAGAUCGUAAAACUCUGUUAUUAGGGAAGAACAAAUGUGUAAGUAACUAUGCACGUCUUGACGGUACCUAAUCAGAAAGCCACGGCUAACUACGUG